GACCGAGCGAGGCGGGAGGACUGGGUGCUGCGCGCACUCUGCGCUAACUACUGUUCAUUUCGUCUCCUUCUCAUCCUUCUUGUAAUUUGUAUUUUGUGUGUGCUUUAUCAUGCGCGCCACGUGUCAGGACAGCAGAGCCUGCGUAUGGUUUAUAAAUAACUACACGUAUCCUGGGGACACACGCUGGCUCAGAGGUGUUAGCACGGGUAGGGCAGCGCUGCGGCCUCUCCUGGCCACAUUUAAGGGUCUGGAGCAUUAAAUAACAUUAAGAAUUAACAGAUGCCAGAGGAGUCGCAUUCGUUUUUCCGUGGGAAGGAGGUCAGCACCGGCGGCGUGGGUGUCGGACCACGUAGAGAAGCAGAUUCCCAGGAGAAGGACAGAGUGCCUGAUGAGGAAAAUCCUCCUGCUCCCACCAUGUACUGCCAUUUCAGCUCCAGAUAAUAUUUUCUGUGCAUAAUAACUUCCACAGUCUGUGGGAACCUUGUCAGCACAGCGUGAAUUUGUCCACCUUUAAUCAGCGCGCAGGCAGGAGAAAGGCUUUCCUCCCCUUUACAUUGGUUGCUGUGCUGCCUCUCGGGGAAUGGUUUGCUCUCUUCCCGGGUCAGCCAGCACUGCAUCGGGUUGUUUGGGAAGUCAGCGGGGCUGCCGGGUACUAGGAUAAAGUUCUUUAAAAGGCAUCAUUGCAGGAAAAGUAAGUACUGCACUAUGUUUGUGUUGCACAGAGGCUUUUACGAAUAACUUACUGUGUUCCAACGUUGUUUCUGAAUUUCAGCUGAAUCACUUCUACUUUCUUCAUUGCUGUAGAAUUAUGGGUGGACUUAAAAAAGUCUUCAGAUAUUUAUUGUCUUUUUCAGCAGCCUUUCCUCUCACUUGAGCAAAACUCCUCCAAAAAUUAUCGAGCAGAUUUGUUGUUUUUCUUUUACAGCUGACAGUGCACCCAAGAACCGCAGUUACAAGCAGUCAUUGAUUUGUUUCCUGCUUGAGUACCACAAAACGUUUUUCAAGAAAUGGAAGGAGAUAAAGGGCAGAGUGCUAAAGCUACCAGUGCAGUGGGUGACCUGAGGAGAAGUUGGCAGACCUGGGCAGAGGAUCACAUUGAGUAUCAGAAAAAGAACCCGUUCAGCAAUGACGACAGGCUUGCAUCUAAACCUGCGCACACUCACCGAGGAGAUCCUACCUAUGGGAGACCCCCUGAAGGGUCUCGGACAGAGCAGAGAGGGAAAGAUGCUCAUUCACACGUGGGCAAGGAAGUAGAAGAGCUGUGCUUGAUCAUUAGAAGCACUGGACAGGUGGGAGAAGAUGGACACGUGAGUGUGACAUUCGGGCAGCUGUUUGAAACAUACGUGACUAUUUCCAACAAAGUAGUAGGAAUCUUGUUAAGAGCCAGAAAACAUGGUCUGGUUCAUUUUGAAGGUGAAAUGCUUUGGCAAGGAAAAGAUGAUGAUGUGGUCAUCACUUUACUACAAUAGGGCUUUGUCAUGGAAUGAAUUUUGCUGCAUGGUUCCAUUUGGACAAACAUACCUAGAUAGCACCUUGAAAGGUUUUCAUUACAGAAUUUCAACUCAGCUACCUACUGGGACAUGAGCAGGAGAGAAAAUUGGUGAGAAGGAUAAAGCAUAUUAUUGUAAAAAUGUAGAGAUUUGGACAGAAAUCACAAAUGAUAAGCUAAUCCAUCACGCUGCCAUUGGAUUGUCUUUAUCAUCUACUAUUAUGUAUAUCACAGUUCUUCAAAUGACUCUGCUGGCUUUGAGGUUACUGAGAAUAAAUAACUAACUUCCUACCAUACAACACUGAUCCUUGCAGGUUGUGAAAUACUUGCUGCAUGGGGGAUUGAGAUUUGUAAAACGUGAAAUUGAAAACUUUUGUGGGCAUUCAUAUACUUCUUCACACAAAGAGCCUGGAUAUAUUUAAGUUUAAUUUCACACUGUUAAACUGAAUAAGUGGAAGCUAUUUUCAUGAAAGAGAAAAAAAUUCCCAAACUUACUAAAAUACCACAGCAAGGAUAUUUGAUGGUUCCUAAAUUAGUUGCACCUUGCAUGUAUUUUGGAGAGCUGCACUAGUCCUGGUUUUUAACAGCCUAUUCUUAUAAUCAUAUUUUCUCCAAACCUUCUGUGUCCUGUGUACUUUUUCUUCUGUAUCUCACACCAUUUUUACCUCUUCUGUUCUUCCAAUGCUGUGUCAUACCCUAGAAGGUCACAAAGCUCUGCAGUUUUUUUGGUGAAUUCAGCUAUACCCCUUCAUAGGAAGUAAGGUGCCACAAUAUAAAGAUGUGAAAGACAACAGAAAUUCUGUACUGGGGCACCUGUACAUUCCUAAGGAAAAAAAAGGCUCUUCUUUCACAAAAAUGAGGCAAUGUUUUUUACGAGAGGAGAGAUCCUGUAGUGCCAAAUGCAUAAAUAAAAAUAUAGCAGCGCUGUCCCAUACCUCGUUUACCAAAGGCAAAGCUGUGCUUUCAGAGCACAGUUGUGAGCUGUCCAAACUUUUUAAAAGGAAAAAAAAGGAUUGAUUACAUAAAAUAGUUGUAAUAGUGCUAUUAAAAAUAAUCAGGAGCUGUAUUUACGAUAGUUCCCAUCAGUAAAGCUGUAAAAUUAGAAAUCUAAAGUUCUGGUUUUUAUCAGUGCAAAUAAAAGCUUUUGUGUGGUGUUAACUACACUACUUGAUGGGUCUUUAAAGAUACUCUCUUGCACCAAAAGGAUAUUAAAAUUUAAUAUAAAUUAAGAACUUGAUAAAAGUGAUGUUACUUUAUGCUAUUUAUAUAAAAAAAACUUUAUUGCAAAAA
Molecule: long non-coding RNA, 2779 nt
Organism: Manacus vitellinus (golden-collared manakin)
Lineage: Eukaryota; Metazoa; Chordata; Aves; Passeriformes; Pipridae
Exons: 2
Source: RefSeq, a predicted model, not a curated record